RNAcentral lists this long non-coding RNA (18941 nucleotides) under Hordeum vulgare. RNAcentral's name for it is "long non-coding RNA (HVUL_LNC008024)". The stretch from base 14353 to 14623 matches the Rfam family "Eukaryotic large subunit ribosomal RNA", at positions 1906 to 2346 of the family's 3401-position model. The record is from RNAcentral. Lineage: Eukaryota; Viridiplantae; Streptophyta; Magnoliopsida; Poales; Poaceae.
CUUUGAAGGAUGGGAGCCCUGCCUCACCAAACAUCUUGUUGGUGACUUGCUCGGCGGCGACGCCCUUAGCUGUCGUGAGCUCAUUGGGGACAUUCUUGAUGGCAUAUGCGACGGGAUGAUCGACAUGGUGUGGUCCACCUCGAUGGCAUAGGAGACGAUGAUGAGGGACAUGCCAUCGGCAUGUUGGUGGUAGGGAGGAGUAGCUCAUGCUCCAGUAGCAAUUACAUCGACAUGCACACAAGCUAUUCGAGGAAAUGUUGUAGAGAGCAAAUGGUUUGAGAGGAGGGUUGAUUUUGAUGAGUGGGCCCCACACCCAACUUAACGGUCAAUACAAACGGAGUUGACAUUUUGUGCCAUGUUCGUGCUGACAUGUGGGCCUGACUUAUCAUAUGCGCAGUCAGAACUAAGCAACUGUGUCAUCACUGUAUUUUUGUGAAAAAUUAGUACAAUAUCGGCGGUAUACGGAACAAAGUCGAAAAACGCUAACCCAAAUGUGGUGGUUUUAUGCUAUUUAUUCGAUUAGAUAGACACGCCUAAAGCUGAGGAUUCAUAUUUUCAUGCCAUAUCUUGGCCAUAUGUAUAACAACAUGUUCAACACUUGGUACUUGUAGUGCUUGACAAAGCGUAGUCCAUAGUGGCUGCCUUAUCAAGAUCAGACUAGAUCUCAGUAAAUAAAUAUCUCACGAGUUUGGUUGGUACCUUGAUGAUUGACAAUGGACUACCAAACAUGAGGAUGACACCCUAUAGAGCAGAAUUCAUAAGGUACCAUGACUUUCCGUUGGCAUAAUCUCCACCCUAGAGGACCAAGGCACAACUCAUGGUAGCUUUGACGUGGACAUCUAGCAGCUGCAUUGAGAUGCGUUCUUCCGUAUGUCAUUGACGUGAGCCAUCUCUUAGUGGUGUGGUUUAGUUGGGGUGUGUGUGUCUCUACCCGAUAGUUAGAACCAUGGUGCUCGGGGCUACUUUACAGUCUUCUGUACAACAACAACAACAACAACAACAACAACAAUAAAUCCUUUAGUCCCAAACAAGUUGGGGUAGGCUAGAGGUGAAACCCAUAAGGUCUCGCGACCAACUCAUGGUUCUGGCACAUGGAUAGCAAGCUUCCACGCACCCUUAUCCAUGGCUAGUUCUCUGGUGAUGCUUCAAUCCUUUAGAUCUCUCUUUACGGACUCUUUCCAUGUCAAGUUCGGUCUAUCCCGAUCUCUCUUGACAUUAUCAGCAUGCUUUAGCCGUCCGCUAUGCGCUGGGGCUUCUGGAGGCCUGCGCUGAAUAUGCCCAAACCACCUCGACGAUGUUGGACAAGCUUCUCUUCAAUUGGCGCACCCAACUCUAUCUCGUAUAUAAUCAUUUCGGAUUCGAUCCUUUCUUAUGUGGCCACACAUCCAUCUCCACAUACGCAUCUCCGCCACACCUAGCUGUUGCACAUGUCGCCUUUUAAUCGACCAACACUCAACAACAUACAACAUUGCGGGUCGAACCACCGUCCUAUAGAACUUGCCUUUUAGCUUUUGUGACACCCUCUUGUCACAGAGAAUGCCAGAAACUUGGCGCCACUUCAUCAAUCUGGCUUUAAUUCGAUGGUUCACAUCUUCAACGAUAUCCCCAUCCUUCUGCAACAUUGACCCCAAAUAACGGAAGUUGUCCUUCUGAGGUACCACCUUCCCAUCAAGGCUACAAUCCCCUUCCUCCUCGUGUUUAGUAGUACUGAAAGCGCACCUCAUGUACUCGGUCUUCGUCCUACUAAGUCUAAAACCUUUGGAUUCCAAGGUUUGCCUCCAUAACUCCAACUUCCUGUUGACCCCCGUCCGACUAUCAUCGACUAGCACCACAUCGUCCGCAAAGAGCAUAUACCAUGGGAUAUCUCCUUGUAUAUCCCUUGUGACCUCAUCCAUCACUAAGGCAAAAAGAUAAGGGCUCAAAGCUGACCCCUGAUUCAGUCCUAUCUUAAUCGGGAAGUGGUCAGUGUCGCCAUCACUUGUUCGAACACUUGUCACAACAUUAUCGUACAUGUCCUUGAUGAGGGUAAUGUACUUUGCUGGGACUUUGUGUUUCUACAAGGCCCACCACAUAACAUUUCGCAAUAUCUUAUCAUAGGCCUUCUCCAAGUCAAUGAACACCAUAUGUAAGUCCUUCUUUUGCUCCCUUUAUCUCUCCAUAAGUUGUCGUACCAAGAAAAUGGCUUCCAUGGUCGACCUCCCAGGCAUGAAACCAAACUGAUUUUUGGUCACGCUUGUCAUUCUUCUUAAGCGGUGCUCAAUGACUCUCUCCCAUAGCUUCAUUGUAUGGCUCAUCAAUUUAAUUCCACGGUAAUUAGUACAACUCUGAACAUCCCCUGUUCUUGAAGAUUGGUACUAAUACACUACACUCUUCUGUAAAAGAAUGUAAAAAAUGUGCAUUUGAAAGAAAUGUACCUUAACUGAUAGUUUGCUUAUGGCUUGUCUCAUUUUGUGAUUAUCCAUUUCAUACGUUCUACCUCACAUAUUUCAACUUUUUGGUUUGGACAAAGGCCUAUUUUGUUUUGUAUUAUGAGACUAGAUGUUGCUAAAUCAUCUCAAUUUUACUUUCAGAUCACGGAUAUGUGUAUUAGGAGCGGUCACAUGGAGUGUCAGGUGGAGUAUAUAGACUAUCCAGAUGAAAGUAAGGGAUGUUUUUUUUUGCCGAGAAACCAAGAAUUCAAUAAUAUUGCUCCCUCCGAUCCAUAUUACUUGUCGACCAGGUGAAUGUAUUUAGACGUAUUUCAGUGCUAAAUAUAUUCGUCUGAGAGACAAAUAGUAUGGAUCGGAGAGAGUGGUUUGCUUUUUGAAAUUUGUUUAUUGUGCUCUAGUUCUGUUCGAGUUUUGUCUAUUCAGAUAAUUCUUUUAACUCUUUGGCCUAAUGUUUUGUGGGGAAAUUAUGCUGACUAUUGUAGUCAAGGCUAUCUUGAGCUGACGGUGAACUUCACAAUUUUUUUUUGUAGCUUAGCUCAUUUUCCACUACCUACAUUUCUUGUAGCUUACUCCCAAAUUUGUAGCUUAGCUCGCUUUCCACUACCUACAUUUCUUGUAGCUUACUGAGGCAACCCGAGGUUGUGGAGGAGCUCCACCUUGCUGCUACAAAUUGUACAACACAAGUGUUGAAGGCAAUAGGUGUUUAAUCCAAAACUCAUAGGGCAUAAGAUCUAGUCCAAGAUCUUAGAUAAGAAAACCAAGUUUUAUUAUAGGUGGUGUACACAGUCUGCUUACAAACUAGAGGUGAGGGCCUCUAUUUAUAGGCUUUUAGAACCUUUAUAUCUCAACUUCUAUAUAUAGCUAGAACACUCUAGAAAACAUUAGUUAAUAUGCAAUAUUCCACUCAUAGCUAGAAGGUUCUAAAAAAUAGUAGAUAAAGCUAAGAAACAAAAAAUAAAUAGUAGGUUGCAGUAGAAGUAUCUAGAAGUAGUCAAAUGGAUUUGACUUCUGAUUUUAUUUUUAUUUUCCUUCUCUAUUGUUCCUCAUCAUUCUCCCCUGGUUGUUUGGAACUCGACCUUGAGUUAUCUUCAUAGAGCGCUUUUUCUGGGUGGUAGAGAGUUAAGUCAACAACAUUGGAAGUGUUGGAUAUAUCCAUCUCGAUUAGAAGAUCUAUCACAUAAGUAUUAUCAUUUAUCUUCCUUAUAAUAAAGAAGGGCCCAUACCUUCACUUCCUAAGCUUCCUUUAACACCUCCAUGUGGAUCUAUGCUGGGAGUUGUUGUAGGAGAACUCUAUAAGAGAUAAAGCCAAAAUCUCAUUGUCUUUUUUUUCUCCACAAGUGCAACUGAUUAGAUUACCCAAAAUUUGUUCACCUCUUUCGUUUGUCCAUCUCUUUGUGGAUGGGCAGUGCUACAAAAUUUUAAUUCAGUGUUGAAUCGGUUCCACAAAGUGAGCCAAAAUGUAGCAAGAAACUUGCUAUCAUGGCCUCAGAAGAUGUACCUUUGAACGCCAUGAAGUCUGAUCACUUCUCAAAAGAAUUGGCUUGCCACAUGAUGAGCAUUCAUUGUCUUAUGACAUGGAAUGAGAUGAGCCAUUUUAGAGAAUAUGUCCACGACCACAAAUACAACAUCACUCCCUCGUCUUGUUCUUGGCAAACCUAAGAUGAAUCCAUAGAGAUCUCCCUCCAUGGAGCAACAUGAACAAGCAAAAGCAUGUAUAAUAUUGUGUUAUGGACUUAGCCUUUGUAGGUUUGACCUAUGGGGCACCGCUGAACAAACUUAUCCAACAUUUCUCUUUAGCUAUGGCCAAAAGUAACGAGCUUCCAGGUUAGCGACAUUCUUGUCCCGUCCAACCUGGCCACUAAGAUUACCUGAAUGGAGCUCUCUAAUAUGCUUGUCACUUAGAGAACCUCGUGGGAUGCACAAACAAUCUUUCUUGAAGAGUGAGCCAUCUUGCACCAAAUAGUGUGUUGGGUAUAUGCAACUUGUAUUACCCGAGGGCCAUAUACAGGUGGAAAUAUGCAGGAAACUCCUCAUACAACGGGGAAAACAUAUAGACUAGAAUAUAACUCUUAACACCCCCUUCAAACUCAUGGUGGAUAAACAACACUGACUUUGGAGAGAUAGAGGCCAUGCAGCGCACACAUACUGAAACCUGAUCUUGCAUAGACGACAGACUUUGAAGGCACAUACUAAAGAAGAAUCACCUGAUCUUGCACAACAGCGCACACAUAGAAAUCAUCAAUACCAAUAUGCUUGGUGAGCUCAUGCUUCAUAAGGUCGCGUGCAAUGCUAUGUCACCUGUACUGUCAGACAAUAGCAAAGUAGGUGUAGCGACAGAAACCCCAAAGUCCUGAAGUAACCAUCGUAACCAAGUCACCUCCUCUGUCAAAAGAGCCAUAGCUCGCAACUUAGCCUCUGCACUCGAGCGGAAAACUGCAGUCUGCUUCUUCGUCUUCCAGGCAAUGAGAGAACCACCAAGAAAAACACCGUAAGCAGAAAGUGAACAACGAUCCAAGGGAUCACUAACCCAUGUAGCAUUCAAAUAGGCCUGAAGCUGUAAGAAACCAGAGCGAGGAAAGAACAGGCGGUGAGAGAUCGUGCUCCGAAGAUAUCGAAGAACACGAAGGAGGUGACUGUAGUGAACCGAAUUGGGAGUAGAGACAAAAUGACUCAGAAUAUGUACCGGAUAGGAGAUAUUCGGACGAGUGACAACUUGAUAGACAAGACUCCCAACAAGAUGACGAUAACGUGUUGGAUUAGGCAAGGAGUCACCAUCAAUAUCAUAGAGGUGAACCAUGGGAGUCUCAACAAUGCACUCAUCAGUAAGAGCAGCACGAGCAAGAAGAUCCCGGAUAUACUUUUCCUGGGAAAUAAAGAAGCCAUCAAAGGUAGAAGAAACUUAGAUCCAAGAAAGUAGCAAGAGGUCCAAGAUCGAACAUAAGAAAUUGCUCACUAAGACGGGCCUUCACAAAGGUAAUAUACUUGGGGUCGUCUCCAGUGAUGAUCAUCUCAUCAACAUAGAGAAGAAGAAGAGUCCGACCACGAGCUGAAAGGUGGACAAACAACGCUGGAUCAUGAGCAUUCGCUGAAAAACUAGCGACAAUCACCAGAAAGGCAAAACGCUAUAAUCAGGCGCGAAGGGCUUGCUUAAGGCUAUAAGAGAGCGACGAAGACGACAGACGACAAACCAUGCAAUCAAGAACAGAAUACCCAUGUGGUGGUUGCAUGUAUACCUCACGCAGCUCACUAUUGAGGAAGGCAUUAUUAACAUCAAGUUGAGAUACAGACCUGUGGCAUACAGAGGCUACGACUAAAGUUUACGAAUAGUGGUCAUAUGUGCCACAGGAGCAAAAGUCUCAUCAUAAUCACGACCAUACUUCUGCUGAAAGCCGCGAGCCACAAGACGAGCUUUGUAACACUCAAGAGAACCGUUCGAGCAAGUCUUAACCUUAUAGACCCACUUACAAUUGAUGGGAUAGACAUGGGGAGGAAGAGAAACAAGAUCCCAUGUACCGUUGCGCUAAAGAGCAGCAAGCUCCUCCGUCAUCGCAAACUGCCAUUCGGGAUGAAUAACAACUUCACGAUAAGAAGUCGGCUAACGAACAACAGCGUCGACGGUUGGAAAACCAAGGUGAUCAACAGGCGGAAGCGGACAUGGACGCUAGCCAUAAGUAGGCUGAGACGAGAAGGACGACACAUAACACAUCCACAUUAUGCGGACGACAAGUAUAAUACUUGGGAAAAGAUGGAAGAAUACGAGUAGGAAUCGCUGAUGUAGACGAAGAAGUCACCGUGGAUGAAGGUGCAGAAUCAGGUGAGGAAACCAUGGGAGAUGGUGACGACGAAUCGACAACAAGUGGAGAAGCAGGGGUAACAGGACGGAUAGACAAGGGCUCAACAGGAUUGAUAGGUGUGCAAGAAAAGUAAGGAAAGAAAUAUCAUCCACUGAAAAGGUCGAGGAAGAUGGACGCGGGUAAAAGGGUCGAGACUCAUCAAAAGUCGCAUCCUGAGAAAUACGCAUCCGACGAUCGAUAGGAUCCCAACAACGAUAGCCCUUAUGCUCAUCACUAUAGCCUAGGAAGACACACUCAACGGACUGGGCAGUCAGUUUGGUGCAUUCACGAGGGGCAAGAAGAACAAUAGCAAACACAACCAAGCAAACGAAGCGCCGAAUAAUCGGGAGAAUGAUCAAAGAGACGCUCGAAAGGAAGACCACCCUGUAGGGCAGCGGAUGGCAGAAGGUUGAUGGGAUAGGUGGAGGUGGAGACAACCUCAGCCCAAAAUUGAGGCGGAAGAGAGGCAACAAUCAUCAACGCACGGGCUGUCUCAAGAAGGUGACGAUGCUUUCGCUCAGCCACACCAUUCUGAGCAUUGGCACCAGGACAAGAUAACCGAGGAAGAGUCCCCUGCUCAGCAAGAACACCACGCAACACCUUGGAAAUGUACUCGUCAGCGGAGUCAGCACGAAACACACGAAUAGGCGAAGAGAACUAAGUGUGAAUCAUGGCAGCAAAACGCUUAUAUAUUGACAGAACCUCACUACGAGAAGUCAUAAAAUAAAGCCAAGUGUGACAAGAGAAAUCAUCUAUGAAAAUAAUAUGGUUGUAAAUGAGAGUCAAUGUCUCACCCAUUAAUCUGAGAGUCACGUUGUGCGAUAAUCCUGAACAGAACAAGAGUCAACGCCAAGGAUGACGCGACAACCAUAAUUAGUUAGUUGACCAGCAGAAAACAAAUUCUUAGUAAGUCGAGGAACAUGAGCAACAUCAGGAACGAAAUAAGGAGUGUUAAGAUUGCCUCGACUAGCAACAGGAAGAGGAGUAUCAUUAGUAGUGAGUACAUGAACAGGAAAAUCCAGCGAUCUAAGAGAGGACAAAGUGGAAGAAUGAGAAGACAUAUGAAAAGAAACUCCGGAGUUCAGAACCCAUGGGGAUGUACCUGACUGUGCAGAGGGUGGUUGCUCAGUGUGGGAAGCAUAAGUCACAGAACCUGAAGUACCCGUUGAAGAAUCUGAAGCAGCAAGCAGACUCUUAAGUCUCAGAAUAUCCUGCUCAGUCAAGACAGUAGCUGAAGAUGUCAAAGUAGAAGUAUAAGUCCCGGAAGAUGAUGUCCGCACCUUAUGCAUGUGACACUUCUUUUGGAAACACUGAGGCUCAACAUGACCAUCUUGGUUGCAGUAAUCGCAAUGAGGACGAGAGCGGCCUUGGCCGCCAGUAGGAGUGGGCAAGAGCGGCGGAGCACUAGAGCGGGAAUGAGUCGGUGUAGCAGAUGGCAUAGCGGGAGCUCAAGCAGCGAGCACAGAGGGAACCUCAAGUAAACAAGCACCACAUAAGCGAGUGUCCUCGGUACGAAUUCUCAGAAAGUGCCUCCAUGAGAGAAAUACGGCCACAAGCAAACAAUUGAGCGCGCCGGGGCUCAAACUCCUUAUGGAGCCGAGACAAGAACUCGUACGACCUGGCAACAUUGGCAAGUACUACAACCAGCAGCGCGAAGAGAAUCAAGCUGACGCCUAAUAGCAGAACUCUAUGCGUAGAAAUCAUCAACGGUGGAGUCACCCUGUUGAAGAGCAUGCUCCUGGCGGACAACAGACAAGUAUAAGCCAUCAUCAGAGGGCUGAUAGAGCUGACGAAGACGAGUCCACAUCUCUUGGCGGACAACAGACAAGUAUAAGGCAUCAUCAAAAUAAACCACAACAAAGUGGGAUUAGAAGGGUCGAAGGACAUGAUUCAUCAAGUGCAUAAAGUUACUUGGUGCAUUUGAUAGUCCAAAUGGCAUGACUAGUCAUUCAAACAAGCCUUUCCUUUGUGUUUAAGGUUGUUUUCCAUUCAUCCUUGGGUCUGAUACGAAUUUGAUAAUGCCUGCUUCUUAAAUCUUGCUUUGUGAACAUGGAAUAGGUAAUCUGUAGCUCACACUGAUUUUGUUGGUGGCUCAACUGUCCGCACAUGCGCUAAGAUCCAUCUCUCCUUGGCAUGAGCAGGGCUGGUACACCACAUGGGCUAAUACUUCCUCGAAUGUGCCCCAUCUGCAACAAUUCCUCUGCUUUCUCUUUCAAUAUAUCAUGCUCUUUUGGGCCAGUUCGGUAGUGUGGAAGAUUAGGAAGACUUACUCCUAGAAUUAAGUCAAUUCUAUGUUGAAUUCCUCUCAUCAGUGGCAGGCUUUGUCGGAGUUGCAACUAUCAGGUGCUCUUCUCCUUUUUAUAGUAAGUGUAGCAAACAAAUUUGCCGUCUUUGAAUUCUUUUAUAAACUCAUUAGAGGUGUGGGAGAUAGUUAACAUAUUUCUCCCCUCCUCCUUAGAGGUAUUAUCAUCAAUUUUGUUUGGUAGAGUAAUGAUAUUCUCUUGUUCCGAAUAAAAGAAUAAGAAUUUUUUCUUCCCUUUAUCUGUAGUAUCCACAUCAAAUUGCCAAGGUCUCCCAAGAAAAAAAUGGCCGGCCUCCAUAUCAAUCACAUCACACAACACGUUUGAGCGAUAAUUCUUGUACAAAGAAAGCGACAUGUUGCACCGUAUGGUGAUCCUCAUAUUCACUCAUUUCUUGAUCUACCAAAUAGUGUAGGGAUUUGGAUGAUCAUGAGUUUCAAGCCUUAAAUGUUCACCAAAACCAAAUUAUGAGAGAUAAGAUUCUCGUAGCUGCAACUAUCGGUGGCUAAUGUGCGUACCUUUUCAUCACCAUGUGUUUGCUCUCAAAUAUUUCUUUCGUUGUGUGUCGCACGUUGUGGUGUGGAGCAUAGGAGACACUGAAUCACACAUACCACCUCUUCACCUUUUUUUUGACAAACCUCUUUUCCCUCUACAUCUUCAUAUUCAUAUUCUUCCUCAUCGUCUUCACCAUCAUGGAGAGUUGUUUUAGCAAAUUUCCUCAAUGUGCACCCGCUGUAUAUGUGUCAAUGUUCACAACAUUUAUAGCAUUUUGGGCCUUGUAAGUGCCUUACCGUUACCUCUAGUUUGCUUCGAGAUGCGUCGGUCGCUUUGCCUUUGAUGGGACGCUCUUUUCUUCCACUCUAAUAGUGUAACUCUUCCACGAGCCUUCAUUACGAGGAUAUGGGGCCUUACUUGUCUUGUCCUCACAGACCUCUCGGCUUUUAAGGCUAUAGCUUGUGCUUAUCAACGGACAAGAUUUGCUGCAUUUCGAUCUUGAAUAGCAUCAUUGAGAUCAUUGAUGUACCUUGCAACUUGUUGAUCUUUGGUCUUGACAAGGUUGCACCUUACUUGUAGCAUUAGAAACUCUUCCGUGUAAUCUGAAACAAUUUGAUUUCCUUGAGCAUUAUUCUGAAAUUAGAUAAAUAGGAUCUGGUCAUAAUCAGCACGCAAACCCCCCCUUUUCAAAACUCUUCAUUUGCCACCAAGUUCUCACACGAGGUUCUCCUGUAAGCCUGCAUUCUUCUUGAAGGCGAUGCCACCAUGCAUCGGCUCUUGAUUUCAGCUUGUAUGCGACCGAAGGAACUCUAUGAUCUUUCUGAAUAUCGAUGACCUCAAAGAAAAUAUCCACUUCAUAUAACCAAUGAAGGCACCCUUCAAUAUCAACCUUCCAUUAAAAGUUGGGAUCUCAGCUUUCGCCUUGUAUGAAUACCUUGCAUAUGUAGGGUUGGGUAUUCUUUGAUAUGCAUAGAGAUCGGGUUCUUCAAGGACAUCAUCAUCUUCUUCACCUUCAAAAGCUUCAACACAAGUUGGCCUUCUUAAAGUACGUUGAAUUGCACAUUCUUGUGGUAGUCUUGCACCAAGAAUACCUCUCCUUCAUCAUUGAACAUGUUCUUCCUGUUUCGAUAAAUCUUCUUCAUUGGUAGCAGGGGAACACCUUUUCUUAUCAUCUCGACCAGCUGAUCGAAUCUCCGGUUAGGAACUUCAUGCGAUGCAUUGAUUUGUUGUUCUACAACAUCUAUUCUAUUCUUCAAUUACUUCAUUCCUUGCUGUACCACCCGAAGCAGCACAAGGUUGUGGAGUAAGAACUCCACCUUGUUGGUACGAAGUGUACAACCUAAGUGUUGAAAGCACUACUUCAACGUGAUAUCGCUCUAGAGGCGGAAAUAGGCCAAUCUACCCUCCAUUGGACCAUUCAACUUAGCAAGUUUUUUUUGCCGUUUUUAAAUUCCAACAACUGUUGUACACUGACAGUGUGAAGUUGAAAAUAUAUCAGAUUUUUUUUGUGACUUUGAGUAUUGGACUUUAGGUUAGAAGAGUGAAGUAUUGCAGCUGUGCCAAAAGACCUAGAAUAACACAUAAUUUAUCUGAGAUCAUCAACUCUAGUUUCCCAUAUGUCUAAAUUAUUGAUUUUAUGUAUUGACAGGAAGGAAAUGGAACAGACUCUACAAAGUUCCUCCAAAAUGUCCUAAUCAGAAAGCAAGUCCGAAUAGGGAGAUCAUGCUACGACCUCCUUUUCCUCAAUGGUGUUGGGAGAAUGAUAUUUCUAAGCUUGGGCUGCAAAUGGAUGUUGUAGCAGUUGUAAGCAAUCCUUGGAAAGUAGGUGACUUGAUUGACUGGUGGUACACUGAUUGUUUCUGGACUGGGAAAAUUAUUGAGUUGUUGGACGAUGACAAAGUUAAGGUAUAAAUUUAUUAUGGUGAACGCAAAUGGCACUUGCUUGCCCCUUCCGUGAAAUCAAAUAGCUAUCCACCGUUAUUUGAACUCAUCUUAAUUGUUUGUUUAAAAAGUUAGCAAAAUUUUCAUGUUCAGAAAAUCACAUUAGGGUUGGAGUAUUAAUGUAUAUUCUUGUGUAUUUGCAUAUAAUGAUUUAUUAAUUUAUUAUGCUUUUUCGAGCAGAUGCAAUUUAUUAUUCUUUUUUGAUGAGAUACAAUUUAUUUUGCUUUUUUGACUGGACUCAGGUUUUUGUGCUUGCUAUAUCUGCAUAUAGUUAUUUAGUGAACAUGUUGCAUGCAUGCUGAUUUUAAGUUGUGCUUGCUAUAUUUGCACAAAAAUUAUACUAAAUCUUAAUGUGUUGAACCCAUGCUUGCUAUAUUUGGACAAUUUUUUUAUUAAAUGUGAAUGUGUUGAACUGGUGAUGGCGGUAAUAUGAAACGAAGGACUACAAUACAACUUGUAACUUAUCGAACAUGUAAUGAUCCUUCAUGGUAAGUCAUCAAAAUUUCUUUAAAAAAUACAUUCAUAACACUAGGAGAAGAACCACAAAUGUAUAUAUCUGCCUGCCAUGUUGUGUGCUAUAGAUGAAAAAUUGGGACUCAUCUCAGCCAAAGUACGAGGGGUAUGGCAUCCAAAAGAAGGCAAUGCUUUCUAUUCUAGCAAAAGGAUUUGAACAUCUCUGCACACAUGGUUUUGUUGUUGUGUGUAAUGUUUUCUUGUUUGGCUUUUAUUUGUAAGGAUAACAAACUUAUUUCGCUUUUCGUUGCGCUUGUGCAUAUUUUACAAUGCUUGCAUUUAUUGCUUCAUUUGGUGUUUACAUUUAAUGUAAGUUGUAUUGUACGUUUUCUACUUGCUCUACAGAUAAUUUGUCCUGAAAUACCAUUAGGUGAAGGUGGAUGCUGGGUUGCCGAUCCCAACGACCUGAGGCCAGCACUAGAUUGGUCCCUCGAAAAAGGUUGGAGCACCCCUCUUUCACAGGUAACUGCGCCAUCAUCCUUCUUAAUAGUGCUAUAAACCGUUAUUCGAAUACCAACGAACACAUUUUUCAAUGAUGGUAAAGAUCAUGUGCAAUAUGCAACUAACAUAAAUCUACAUCAUAUGUUAAAGUUCAUAUGCAACAGACAUAAAUCUAGAUCAUAGUUUCAAUAUCAAAUACCACAGUGAGCUGAAUGAGGCAUUGAUUGAUAAUUAGUUGACAUGCCCUUUUCGUUUUGGCAUAAAGAAGAAUGAUGCCAUUUUCCAGGGUGGGAGUAUUUUUAUGUUUAAUUGUUCUGUUUUCUCAGUCUUCUGUUUUGAAAAGAUGAUUUAAUACCUUCUUGUUUAUCAUUUGAUGAGAAAUUUACAUUUAAUAACUAUAAUCUGUCGUCAGGCUUUCAAAGUGGGAAUUCCUAACAGGUAUUCUCGUUUGUUGAAGUUGAAUAUGUGGGGGAUACUUGGUGUUUGGGAUAUUUAUUUCAAUUUUCGCAAGUCACAAAACGCAAAAAUAUGGGAUAUUGUUGUUCUGUUAAUGAUAAUGGAUUCGAGUGUGACUCCGGUUCGGGAAAAGAGUGAUCAGGCUUUCAAUCCCUUCUCAUAGAUGUGUCUUAACAUUCCAUUGACAUGCUUGAUCAUUUUAAUCCUAAUAGCUAGGAUCUACAAGUCCAUGUCAUGUAAGAUGAUUCUCUGUUAUGGAAAUGUGGAGAAGAGCACUACUCGAAAUUAUUAUUAGCAAGAGUAAAAUUACCGUUUUACUCCACAGUUGGUGGCUCUUCUUGAGUGCCGACUUGAUUAUUGUUUUCCCUUUUUUUUUACCUCCCCCUUAUUCCAUAGUUACGACAUCCAACAAAUAUAGUCUCUUAAGUGGGUUUGUGUCAUGUGGACUAAAGGCUUUGUUGUUGUUGUAAGUGGGUCAGUGUCAUGUGGCAUAUGACAUGAUAUGGAAUAAAACACAAAUGUGGAGAAAAGACAACAAAACUAAUAAUUCAGAGCAUUUUUUAUACUUUAAAGACAAGGGUGUAAAGCAUUGAAAAUCACUCUAAUAUAAAAAUUCUGCAUGCCCCCCUCAGGUUUUUGGUGUUUGAGCAUCGUAGCCCCUUGAGGUUUAGAUCAUGAUCAACCCCUUGAAGUGUUUUUGUUGUGUGGCAUUGCACACGUGGACUGUUGACGUGUAUCAGUUGCCAGUAUGGCCUAUCAUAUCACGUUGGACCUUGGUAUCAUUCAACUAAAUAUGUUCACUACUCUCUUUACCCUUAUCAUUCAAGUAAAUAUGUUCACUACUCUCUUUACCCUGAAGCCCCAAGGAAGGAAGAAAAUGUCACAUCCUUGGCGGCUUACCCUGUCAUGGUGGCAAAAUAACCCUCAACCAUUCAAUGGGGUUAUUUGAUGAUGGUGGACCUUAGUAGGACAAGAGUCACAACAAUAAGUCACAAAGGUACAACUUUUGAUGAUAGUUUGAACAUGAGGCCCACAUCUUCAGGACUAUGAGUGCUCCUCCCAUUCAUAUUACUAUGAUAUUGCAUGUUGGUCGACCGUGCGCCGACACAUGCCACCCACUCCCUUGUCGUACAUGUGCUAUUAUGUUUGGCAUUGGUUACAUUCCCCACAAUAUAUACGAGGUUCUUGGUGAGUAGUGUUGAAUUGUUGGAGGUACAUACCCUGUGGGCGUGGACACGCCAAGUCGACAAAAGAGUGCCUUGUGUCCCCGAGGCCUAGAGACGACCAUACAAAGGUGGGUACUUGGAGGAAAAGGGAUGGAAACGCUAACUCUAGGAUUCUAUUGUAGAGGAUUAGAUGGAGAAAAAGGUGGGUAACUAGAAGAUAUGUUCCUAAUUUUGUAGAGGAUUAAAUUGUUGAGCUUCAUGCACUAGCCAACGCAACAAAAAGUCUGAAUUGAUGAAAAAGGCUCUACAAUCCAAAUAUACACUCAACACCCCUCUCAUGUGUAACACGGGAAGUGAACACGUGAAUAGAGUCAGAGGUAUUGGUCAAGAAGCCUAGACAUGAUCAUAGUGGGGGGCAACAACAAUUUUUAGAUAAAUUAUAGAAGUCAGGACUUGAACUUAAGACCUUGGGCUCUGAUACCAUGUUAAGCUUCAUGCACUAGCCAACGCAAGCAAAACUCUAAACCAAUGAAAAGGUUAGGCAAUCCACAUAUGCACUUCAACAUCCCCUCUCACAUGUGACCCAGAAAGUCAACAUGUGAAUAGACUUAGAUGCAUGACUCAAGAGGUCUAUACGUGGACACAAAGGGGGCAGGAACAAGUUUUAAAUAAAUUGAGGAAGACAACACUGAACUCAAGACCUUUGGUCUGAUACCAUGUUAAGCUUUAUGCACUAGCCAACGCAACCAGAAGUCUGAAUUAAUGGAAAGGCCUAAGCAAGGGAAGUCGGCAAAAUGGAUCUGUAACUUCGGAAAAAGGAUUGGCUUUGAGGAUUGGGCCAGAGGAUCUCGAACCUAUCUGCUGUCGGUGGACUGCUCGAGCUGCUCACGCAGCGACAGUGGGUCGCCGCGUGCAGGCCAGGGGACGGAUCGGGAAUCGACUUAGAACUGGUACUGACAACGGUGAAUCGGACUGUUUAAUUAAAACAAAGCAUUGUGAUGGUCCUCACGGAUGCUGAUGCAAUCCACAUACGAUUCAACAUUUUCUCUCACAUGACGUGGGAAGUCAACACGUGAAUAGCCUUAGAAGUAUGGCUAAAGAGGCCUAUACGUGGAUAUAAAGGGGGUAGCAACAAUUUUAGAUAAAUUGCGAAAGCCAGGACUUGAACUCAAGACCUUAGGCUCUGAUUCCAUGUUAAGCUUCAUGUACUAACCAAUGCAACCAGAACUGAAAUAAUAUGUUAAGCUUCAUGCAUUAGCCAACGCAACCAAAAGUUCAAACUUAUGGAAAGGGCUAGGCAAUCCACAUAUACACUUGACUAUAAAAGGGCUUGACCUCUGCCAAAGACAUUUAGAUCACGAUUCUCGCAAAACUCGUAGCAGGACAUAGGGCCAUUAUACAUCUCAGGGGCUCCUACCCACUUUACUAUAUUUCAUGACUCUGACUCAGUCCUAAGACUUAAUAGUGAACUAAUCUUUGAUAAGGACUUAGGGUACAAGUGUGCGACUUCAACGUGGCUCUGCACCCUUAUGCACAGAGUGUAUGACUCCAAGUAAUACAACUCGUGCAAAAUACGUGACACAUACCCAACAAACUCCACCUUGUUGAACAUUUUUUUUAGAAAAACAGAGAGGCUCUCGCUAGCUUCAUAUAAAUGAAGAACAUGAACGAGAUCCAGGCUACAACUGAAAUAUUCCAACAAUACAAAAACUACAUCUAAAAGGAAGAACAAGUCUAAAGAGAGCUUCACAAAUGCUUACAUCUUAUGAAAUUCCGUUGAAGCCGUCGGUGACCCGAUGACCUCCAGAGGUGAUGUAGGGCUUGAUGCAACAUUCUGCUAGCAGAGGCCAUUCUUCACGCGCGGGAGAGCAUUAUCUUCAGCUUAUUCAUUGGACCCAUUAGCACCCGAGGAGGUGAUACCAGCUGAGACACAGUAAGUCACUCAGAAUCAGCCGAGGUUUCCUUAAGUUGGUUGAAAGGGAGUUGCAUAAUGCCUCCAAAGUCACCUUUGUUUGAUCCUUUGCUAGGUCCAUCAUUUGAAGCCCGACAACUUUCAAGACAUUCCACCCAACCUGCUUGAUAGAAGACCACAUGGUGUUAUUGAAAAUUUCUUAAACUUCUAAAUACACUACAUGGUAGUAGCACAAACAGCAAUAAGAUCAGAAUUCGUCUUAUUAGAAAUCCAAAACCUAGCUAUAGAUUCAUAGUCUCUCCCUCGAGGAACGCAAAGUGUUCAGUGUUCACUAAUUACUGGCCAUAUAGCUUUAGCCAUUGUGCAGUCAAAGAAGAGAUGAUGAAUAUUUUCAUCUUCUGCAUAGGUAAGGCAGUCCAGGGGUUUGAUUAUGUGUCUCUUUCUAAGAUUGUCUCUAGUCAUAAGUUCAUUAUGAGAGAGCAACCAAAGGAAGAUGUGGAUUUUUGGAGGUACUACCAGUUUCCAAAUAGCAAGGAGAUACACACGUUGCACUCCUCUAAAGUUGGUAGCAUGGUAUAGACAACUAAUAUUUUAAUGAUCUUCGUUCUCCAGUUGGUAGACUAAAGAAUCGGUAUCAUCAUGAAAUGAAAUGCUGCUAGCAAUACCUAUUGGCUGGAACCAUUGCUCUAUCAUCCAGACAAUAAAAUUUCUCUUAAAGGUAAACUUAAGCUGAUUACUAUCUCAGGCCUCUACAAUAGUUUUAGAAGGCUCAUUGCAGACAAAAUAAAGUGGCCAAAAUUGAACAGCUAGAGGUGAAGUACCAAACCAAGUGUCUUCCUAAAACCUAAUUUUAGCACCCUUGCCUAUCUGGCAUCUAUACCCAAGAUUUUAUGACAAACAUGAUACCCUUCCAAAAUCUGUAGACAUUAAGAGGAACCAGUAAAAAUAUUUGGGUUGUCAGUUUUGUAGUUAUGGUCAAUAAUCAUCUUCCAAGGCUUAUCCUUCCCCAAGUUAUAUCUAUUAAUCCAUGAUCCUAACAAGCAAAUAUUAACCUCUUGCAAAUUUGGCACACCUAAACCACCAAAUUCUUUUAAAUGCAAAAUAGUCUGCAAUUAGCUAAGUGCAACUUUCUGUGGACCUCAAAAAUCAUUCCAGAGUGAGUUAGCCAUCUAAGAGUUAAUGAGUUCUAUGGCCCAUUUGGGGAAUUCGAAGAAGCUUCAAGCAAGUAAAUAGGAAUGCUAGACAGGCAAGCCUGGGUAAGGAAUAAUCUUCCUUUAUAAGAGAGGAGUUUCCCUCUCCACCCUGCCAUUCUCUUAAUAAUCUUAUCAAUCAAAGGUUGGAUAUUCUCUCUUCUAAGCUUAUCAUAUUGAAGGGGUAUCCCUAGGUACUUAAUAGGGAAUUGGCCUUUACUAAAUCCAAGAACAUCUUUGAAUGAUGUAACUCCUCAUCGUCCAUGUUAAUGGGAAUGAGCUCAUUUUUGUUGUAGUUAAUUUUUAUACCAGAGACUUGCUCAAAGCAGUUCAGGACCCAUUUUAGGUUUUGUGCUCUUUCCAAGUCAUUGUCAACAAAGCGGAUGGUGCCACUAGUAUGGAUGCAGAUGAUGCCUCCAGCCCAUAUAAAGGUACAUAGCCCUUGUACCAAGCUGUUAGCGACAACUUUUUGAAGCAUUCCAAUUAGAACAUCUACAAUCAAAUUAAAAAAAGGGGAAAGAGGAUCUCCUUGUCUCAAGCUUUUGCUCGUAGCAAUGAAUCCCCUUCUACUUCGUUGAGCUUGAGUCCCACAGAGCCACCACGAGUAAUCUGAUUGAUCCAUUUCAGCCACUUAUCCCCCAAACCCCUAAUUCUAUUCUAGGUUGGAAUUGUCAAAAGCUUAGCAUGAUCUAUCUUUAAAACUAACCCCUUGCUAUUAGAGUGAAUAGAGUGGAGCACUACAUGGGCACUGACCACACUCUCUAAAAUGUACCCCCUCUAAGGUAAAUUGAUUACUGUCAAGCAGUCUUUGCAAAAUGAUAGCUAAUCUGUUAGUUAUGUUUUUGUAAAGAUCUUAUAACUACAAUUGAGAAGGUUGAUAGGCCUAACGUUGUUCAUAGUAGUGGCAUCACUGUCCUUCGAAAUGAGGGUGAGCAUGCCAAAGUUCAGCCUCGACGGAUAUUCUACACCACCUUUACGUCUUGUACAUUGGACCUGAGAUUUCACCAUAAGUUCCUGUGAACACAUCCCCACCUGCUAUUCUCGUGCCUUCAUUUCUUCAUGACAAUCAUUGCUCUAGCGAAAUAAGUUUCUCUCCACUCUUAUCUGAAGCUCCCUUCUGGAGUAUUUGUUUGCCAUUACACUUUGGUCAUAAGUCACCAUAUCUCCAUAUCUGACAACACCUCUUCCUUGAUCUAAGUAUAUAUACUGGUAUCAUGAAUUCGACAUCCUCAAUUUUGUCUAAUUCUAUCUGAAACUUGUAUUCAUCGUUAGUCAGUUGAGCUCAAGUCAAAUUUGCUGUGUCCCGAACCUUUUCGGGAUGGUGCUUUCACAUACCUCAUAGCUAUAACAUUUCAUCUACUUCUGCCUUUGCCAUAAACUUUGACAUGUGUGCUGAAAACCAAACAAUAUAUGGCCAUGUUUUGUUCAUGCCUCUUAUAUUCCUCCCCAACACUUCCUUAGAUUCACCAUGCUCGACUCAGACACGCCAAUCUUGUUAGACCUACACACUUGUCCAGCCACAUGUCUGACUGCUCGUGCUUUGGCAUAUCACAGUGUCCAGUGCUUACUUCAUGCCUUGCCACUAUUAGAACGUCAAGCUCUGCUAUACUGGCUGAAGAUCCCCUAAUUAGUUUGCUACACCUCCCUGCUCCCACUACUGACAACCACUGAUCACGUCCAACUGACGUUGAGUUCCAUGCCUUUGGAGACCAUUGAGCUUCAACCCGGAUUCUAAUUCUCUGUUAGCUUGCCACACCUCCCUACAUCACAUGUUAUCGCAUUCACUGUUGGACACCAUCAGGAUCAUUCUCUUAUGUCACUGUUGCUGAUCUCACCACCAUCUUUUGUCCAAACCGACCUUGUUGAUGUAUUAGACAGUCCAGUAAGACCCAUUCAAACUUGUCCGACUACGACUAUACUCCUCAUCGCGCCAUGCCAGCACCAUACAUCACCGUGCAUAGCUCGACGCCCCUCAAAUGUAUGAUCCUUUAUGAGGCUCUUCAAGCUUCUCCAAGCCUUAUAUGCAUGUUGAUCCUCGCUGCAUGAGCUCCAAGCCCUAUCAGUAAACUUAAUAUGAAAGAUCUCCCAUGUGUGGACAUGGCCUGAUGGAUUCCUUGCACAAUUCUUUCUUGUCAGUAUUGGCCGGUACUUCUACACCUAGCAUCAAAGAUAAGAAGUAUCUCCCAUCUGCUCUUGGACACCAAGCAUGCUCAUACGUAUGUGACCCGUAGGCACUCGUGCCUUUUUUUCUAAGAAAUCGUGUUG